This 492-nucleotide ribosomal RNA is filed under the name uncultured bacterium. RNAcentral describes it as "partial 16S ribosomal RNA". It matches the Rfam family "Bacterial small subunit ribosomal RNA", at positions 29 to 507 of the family's 1533-position model. The record is from RNAcentral.
AGUGAACGCUGGCGGUAGGCCUAACACAUGCAAGUCGAACGGCAGCACAGUAAGAGCUUGCUCUUACGGGUGGCGAGUGGCGGACGGGUGAGGAAUACAUCGGAAUCUACUUUUUCGUGGGGGAUAACGUAGGGAAACUUACGCUAAUACCGCAUACGACCUACGGGUGAAAGCAGUGGAUCUUCGGACCUUGCGCGAUUGAAUGAGCUGAUGUCGGAUUAGCUAGUUGGCGGGGUAAAGGCCCACCAAGGCGACGAUCCGUAGCUGGUCUGAGAGGAUGAUCAGCCACACUGGAACUGAGACACGGUCCAGACUCCUACGGGAGGCAGCAGUGGGGAAUAUUGGACAAUGGGCGCAAGCCUGAUCCAGCCAUACCGCGUGAGUGAAGAAGGCCUUCGGGUUGUAAAGCCCUUUUGUUGGGAAAGAAAAGCAGCAGGUUAAUACCCCGCUGUUCUGACGGUACCCAAAGAAUAAGCACCGGCUAACUUCGUG